Aethina tumida (small hive beetle) is the source of this 926-nucleotide long non-coding RNA. RefSeq lists it as uncharacterized. NCBI's taxonomy places the organism in Eukaryota, Metazoa, Arthropoda, Insecta, Coleoptera, Nitidulidae. The transcript has 3 exons. The record is from RefSeq and is a predicted model, not a curated record.
CGAGCCUGCAACUCAGGUGUUCUGACAACUGCACGAAACCAUAACAAAUGCGGGUCUGGUCAGCUAACUUCGCGAUGGAGCGUCGCGGCUGCGCACUGCGUGAGAAGAAAAAAUCAUUGUACUCCAGAGAAAAGGAGUAUAAUAAUUAACAUGAAACAUCAAGGACUAAAUAUUGCUGAUACUGCAGCAAACAAAAAACAAUAUCCUUUCUUGUCCUCUAGUAAAGAAACCAUUGGAACAAGACUAAAAGCUUACACAAAAAUGUAUUAUCUUGCAGAAUUUAGUUUUAAGGUAUUUUGAAGUGAUAUAAUUAAAUUAGACCGUCCUCCUCCUAAUCAAAGUUUGGAUCCCAGAUAAACUAUAAAAACUUUGACACAGUGGAGGAAAAGUUUUGCCUAGGGUUCCUUUCCUUGGAACGGUAUAGGACCAAUUCACAACAUUACUAGUAAUAUGAACCAUUUCGUAUAUAGAGACAUUAUGAGAGAUGUUGUGGAACCAUUUACCAACGAUAUUACUCAAUUACUCAAUUACUUUAUGUAUUUAAAUGCCUGUAUCCAAAGCUUUUGGUUAAAAGAUAAAAAUAUUGAGGUUCCCUAUUGACCAACGUAAAGUCCACAUCUAAAUACAAUUGAAGAUUUAUGGAACUAUUGUAAUCUCGAUCAAAACACCAAAAGGCAUCAAAUUUAGAUUGGUUAUUAAUUGAAGAGUCGUGAAAUAUAAUUUCAAACGUCCAAUGCUGAUAUUUUAUUGAAUUUUUGCUUCGUCAUUUAUAAGUGGUUAUAAUGAACAAAAUAUACCCAACAAAAUAUUCAUAAUUUUGUUUAAAAUAUAAAUUAUUUAACAAAUAUAUAUUUUUCAAAAGUGUGCCAUCUCUGUGACCAGCUACAUUUCACAUUUAUUUUAUAUAAGAUUUAAUUUAGGAGGAA